This 550-nucleotide ribosomal RNA is filed under the name uncultured bacterium. RNAcentral describes it as "bacterial SSU rRNA". It matches the Rfam family "Bacterial small subunit ribosomal RNA", at positions 772 to 1319 of the family's 1533-position model. The record is from RNAcentral.
ACUAAAUAGAUACCCCGGUAGUCCACGCCGUAAACGAUGAGUGCUAAGUGUUAGGGGGUUUCCGCCCCUUAGUGCUGCAGCUAAACGCAUUAAGCACUCCGCCUGGGGAGUACGGUCGCAAGACUGAAACUCAAAGGAAUUGACGGGGGCCCGCACAAGCGGUGGAGCAUGUGGUUUAAAUUCGAAGCAACGCGAAGAACCUUACCAGGUCUUGACAUCCCGUUGACCACUGUAGAGAUAUGGUUUUCCCUUCGGGGACAACGGUGACAGGUGGUGCAUGGUUGUCGUCAGCUCGUGUCGUGAGAUGUUGGGUUAAGUCCCGCAACGAGCGCAACCCUUGAUCUUAGUUGCCAUCAUUUAGUUGGGCACUCUAAGGUGACUGCCGGUGACAAACCGGAGGAAGGUGGGGAUGACGUCAAAUCAUCAUGCCCCUUAUGACCUGGGCUACACACGUGCUACAAUGGACGAUACAAACGGUUGCCAACUCGCGAGAGGGAGCUAAUCCGAUAAAGUCGUUCUCAGUUCGGAUUGUAGGCUGCAACCCGCCUAC